Antechinus flavipes (yellow-footed antechinus) is the source of this 3508-nucleotide long non-coding RNA. RefSeq lists it as uncharacterized. The transcript has 3 exons. The record is from RefSeq and is a predicted model, not a curated record. NCBI's taxonomy places the organism in Eukaryota, Metazoa, Chordata, Mammalia, Dasyuromorphia, Dasyuridae.
GAAAACUCCAAAGAGGGGUCACAAAGAGUUGAACUUGCCAGAAAUGACUUGACAACCACAAAAAUUGGCUGACAAAAUAGUUCUUGUGACAGUCUAGAGAAGAACAAGCUCACCUCUUUGGUGAGAUUUGGCAUUUCCCCUGAGGAAUGAAUCAGAACAUCCCUGCACUUCAUCAGUGUCUUAAUUUACACUUUCAAAGAAUGAGGUUAUGAAAGUCAAGUGAGCCAGUAAUCUGUGGGUCCUAACUAAAAAUAGGUUAUUUCCCAGAAUGAAGGUGUCUGCACACGCAGUUACAUAACAUUACCAUUAAUGGGGUGUAGAGCACAGCAAACCUGAAGCCAGAAAGGCCUGAAUUCAAGUUCCACUGCUAAUCCAGAUUGUGUGAUGCUGGGCAAGUCUUUUGACCUCUAAGUGUCCCAGACAACUCUAAAACUUGUAAGUUGCUAAGCAAGUGUUGAUCUGCUUGGGCAGGAGGCUGGUCUUCACCUGGAAAUCAUUUGUACCAGGGAAACCACAGGUGCAUUCUCUUUCCCCAUGCUAACGUAUCACCAGCCCUGGGACUAAAGUCACAGCCUUGGAUGAGCAAAUAAUAAUUGUUUACAUAUAGUACUUUAAGGUUUGCAAGGUAUUUCCUAGCAGUUUAAUUUGAAGAUGAGAUAAGAUGGUCUCCUAAGGGCCUCCUUGCCUCCUCUUUCCCCAGCCUCCAGCGUCCUGCCAGUGUAGAUCAGGCAUUCUCCUUCCCAUUCAACAACUUUAGAAUUUCUCGAUUGCUUUAAUGAUAAAAUACGAACUUUGGUUGUGAAAGUCUUCACAACCUGGUUCCAACCCAUGUUUUCAGUCUCACUGAUCCUGCUCCUUUGACUUUUGAUUUAGCAAAACCAUCCUCCCCAGUCAUCAUAACACAACGCUCUAUUUCCCAUCUCCCACCUCCAUGUCUUUGUAUCUAUCAUCCAUCUGACAUGUAGUCUCCUCAUCUCUGCCUCACAAAACCCUUCUCUUUCCUUCAAGACACAGCUCAAACACCACUUUCUAUGUGAAAUCUUUUCUGAUUCCCCCAACUGCUGGUGCUCUUACUCCUUGAGAAUUUGUAGUUAACCAAUGUAUAGUUUUUCUCUCUUCUCUUUAUAUUCUGUGUACACUUAUAUGUCCUUAUUGUCUUCCUUGUCAGAAUGUGAGAUUAAUUUUCAACAUUUACCUUUAUGAUAUUUUGAUUUUCAUUUUUUCCCUCUCUCCCCACCUCCUCCCAUUACUCUUUCUUCCCCAAGACAGCAAUCAAUCUGGUACAGGAUAUAUGUGUACAAUAUAUUAAACAUAUUUCCAUAAUCAUCAUGUAGAAGGUGAAAUCUUUGAGAAUGGUAAUUUCUAGUCUUAGAGUUGAGUGAGUUGUACAAGAUUAUGAAAAGCAGUUGGGCAGCUAGGUGGAAAUGGCAAACUACUGCAGUAUCUCUGCCAAGAAAACUCCAAAUGGGGUCAUGAAGAAUCAGACUGGAUUGAAAAAUGAUUGAACCAUGGGAGCCAGUAGGUUUCCCUGGGCCUUAAAUCCCGGUUUUAUUGAGUCUGAGAUGAGCUCUCUAUCUACUGUCCUAAAUUGCCUUUCAUAUAUAUUUUGUGUAAGCAAAAUAUAAACACGGUAAUUAGAAGAGGGAGGACACUUUGAGAGGAAGUGGUAAUUCCAAAAGGUACAUGAGAGGAAGAGAUAGGAAGCAGUAGAAAGGUGAUAGAGAGCCUGUGCAAAGGCCCCAGAAAGACUGGAGAAGGCUGACAUAUACAGAAAACAGCAAAUAGAUCAGUCUGUUAAAGCAGACAGAGUUUGUGAGGGGGAAUCAUGGGAAAAGGCACAGGCAGCUUGGUCUAGUGAACAAAGGGCUUGCCUGGCAGUCCAAGGCCUGGGGUUUGAGUCCUGCUUUAGCCAAACACCAGACAGAUGGUGGGAGGGCAAGGAGACUCACCCUGGUGGGUCCCAGAUUGCCCUGCCAGAUGAGAACGUUGGACAAGAUGAUCUCUCACCCUGGAUCAGAGACCAUGACAUGGUCGGCCACAGACCAGCUCCCCCGCUGGACCCAGACACUAACUUACCUGCGUGGGGGAGAUCAGCAACUCUGGGAUAUAUUUUCCACAUUUUGCGGAUGAGGAAAUAGCAUCAGAAGUUGAGUGUUCUUACACCUUACUCUACUCCAUAUACUCUACAAUCUGGUGAUACUUUGCUGCUCCGCACAUAAGAUACUCCAUCGCCCUAUCUUAGACAUUUUCAUUAAUUGGCCCUCCCUACCUGGAACUCUUCCUCUCCCUCUCUGCCUCCUGACUUCCAAGUUUUCUUCAGCUACAGAGCAAUUUCUGCAAGAAGACUUUCCCAAUACUCCUUAAUCUUGGUGCUUUCCUUCUAAGAUUAUCUCCAUUUUAUCUUCUAUAUAUCUAUAUAUCUUUAUCACAUAUAUAUUUGUCUCUAAUUGUUUAUAUGUAUAUAUUUUUGUACAUAAUUUCUGUCGUCACUGCCAUUAGACUGGGAGUUCCUUGAGGUCAGAAACUGGUUUUUUUUGCCUUUCUUUAUAUUCUUUAUGCUUAGCACAGUACCUGGCACACAGUAGUCAUUUAAUAAAUGCUUAUUAACCAACUAGUGCUGAUACAUAACUCAGUGAGGGAGGGAGUAUUUGAUGGAUAAGCAAAAGUCCUUGAUUUGGUCCUGGAUUCUAGCAGGAUAUGUCAGCCUUAUCCUGGUAUGCUAACCUGUCAUUGCAAAAGAAUUGAUCUCAGAGAAGUCAUAGCUCUGCUAUCUGUAUGACUAUGAAUAAGCCAAAAAAAAACUAUCUAUAAAAUAAAAUAUAAAAAAUAAUAAUCUUUGCCCUUAUGAAGAUCAAAUUACCCAAUCUAUAAAUAUAUAUAAUGUCACUAUGUUAUUAUUGAAGCAAUUCCUUUUAAUUCUAAUGCCUUCGUUAAUUAUUUCCUAUUUAUCUUGCAUAGAUUAUAUUUGUUUGCUUGUUAUAAUUGUGAGCUCCUAGAGGACAGGGACUGACUUUUGCCUCUUUUUGUAUCCCACCACUUAGCACAGUGCCCUGGCCCAUAGUAGGUGCUUAAUACAUAUUGAUCAAUUAAUUGAAGCAAUGUGGUACAGUAGGGAGAUUACUGGUCUGGAACUUAGUCCCAAUGCUGCUAACUAACUAAAUUCCGAUCAUAGGGUUACAUUGAGAGGCAGCAUGAUGUUGAAUUUAGUGUCUGGCUUCAAAUCCUAGCCAUGCAAUUUACUACCUGUAUAAUCUCAGUCCAAUCAUUUAACCUCCGUGCCCUUAGUUUUCUCAUCUGUAAAACAGGGGGAUUGUCCUAGAUGAUCUCUGAGAUCCCUUCCAGCUCUAGUAUUCAUUUAUUUUAAGACUCUAAUAAUAACAGUAAUAAUUAUCAAUAAGAGAAAUAGAGGAGUUGAAAAGAAAGGAUUUCUAUUUUCUUAGCACUGGUAUAUCUUGGUUUCAAGAGUACAGCAAUAUAGGUCAACAUGUUAUUUGCACUUACUUCAUCU